This is a small nucleolar RNA of Corylus avellana, 84 nucleotides long. RefSeq annotates it as small nucleolar RNA SNORD24. Lineage: Eukaryota; Viridiplantae; Streptophyta; Magnoliopsida; Fagales; Betulaceae. The record is from RefSeq and is a predicted model, not a curated record.
GGCCGGUGAUGCUAGAUAUAUUUGCUACUCUUGAUGGGAAACAAUCCCAUUUGAUGAUUCCUUUCCACCAAGAUCUCUGAGGCC